UGUCCAAAGCCCCAAAGUACAUUGUCGAAGCUAGGAAAGGGUCUCGUUUUGGACAUGACACACUUGUUGAUGUCAUGCUUAAGGAUGGACUUUGGGAUGUAUA
This is a long non-coding RNA of Zea mays, 103 nucleotides long. RefSeq lists it as uncharacterized. NCBI's taxonomy places the organism in Eukaryota, Viridiplantae, Streptophyta, Magnoliopsida, Poales, Poaceae. The record is from RefSeq and is a predicted model, not a curated record. The transcript has 2 exons.